RNAcentral lists this small nucleolar RNA (89 nucleotides) under Colletotrichum fioriniae PJ7. RNAcentral's name for it is "Small nucleolar RNA snR73". It matches the Rfam family "Small nucleolar RNA snR73". Lineage: Eukaryota; Fungi; Ascomycota; Sordariomycetes; Glomerellales; Glomerellaceae. The record is from Rfam by way of RNAcentral.
GUCUACGUGAUGAUCAUAAUAUAUAUCACGACGGUCUCCUGAGCCAUAUGCUUUGAUGACACUGCCUUUGACAAGGCCUCUUACUGAUU